Bufo gargarizans (Asiatic toad) is the source of this 219-nucleotide long non-coding RNA. RefSeq lists it as uncharacterized. The record is from RefSeq and is a predicted model, not a curated record. Lineage: Eukaryota; Metazoa; Chordata; Amphibia; Anura; Bufonidae. The transcript has 3 exons.
CGAUGACGUCACCGCAGGUCCUUCCGCUCUCUAUUCCCAUGGAGAAGCUGCCCCCGGCCGCCAUGAUGGAGGCUCCCCUCCCAGGUUCUGACUCCAGGAGAAGUCCCCCCGAGAGAUGUCCCCGUCCUCUGUAUUCCCAGGACUGUCCAGAGGAGAAGCUCCCAGAGAACCAUCAGAUGACAAAUCAGGGGGAAGAUGUGACUGAUAUUAAAGUGGAGG